Vicugna pacos (alpaca) is the source of this 803-nucleotide non-coding RNA. The record is from RefSeq and is a predicted model, not a curated record. NCBI's taxonomy places the organism in Eukaryota, Metazoa, Chordata, Mammalia, Artiodactyla, Camelidae.
CGGUCCGGAACGCUGGGUUCAUUCACUGUUGUGGGAACCCAAGGAUGAGAGGAAGGUCCCCAGGGGAGGCAGCCAAGGCUCCUCAUGGAAGCCCAUCAGGAGAUGAGACUAGAGCAGAUGGGGGGCUCUGGGGCUGUCAAGCAGGGCUGAAAUUCCUUAUAAGAUCAAACUCCUUCUUUGAAGCCAGUUAUGCUGCGAAGAACCAGAGUGUGUGUACAGACGGGCCCAGUUAUCACCCUGAUGACCACCAACCUCAGGCUCUGCUCAAAGUUUCAGGAAAUGCAGAGAAUAAAGGAACAACUGAAGUGACAUCACAAGGAAACAGUCAACAUAUGUCUAAACAGACAGGACAGUCAUCAAGACACUGGUCUGGCUACUUCAAAUCAAUGUCAGUAGAAACACAAAAAUAACAAACAAAUAGACCAAUAUUUCUUCUAGAUUAAAGACACUUAAGACACAUAACAACCAAAUGGAAUUCUUGGUCCUCUGUUGGAUUCUGGUCUGAACAAUCCAUCUAAAGAAGUCAUUUGGGGGAGAGUGAAAGAAAUUUGAGUAAAGACAAGGUAUUUGUUCAUUUUCUUAAAUAUUGUUGGCUAUUCAGGAAAAUAUGUUUUGAAGAGAUACCUAUUGAAGGAUGAAAAUAUUUUAUUAGCUUUUUUGAUUUUGUUACUUUAAAAUACCUAAGCAGAAAAAAAAUAGAUGAAACAAAUAUGGCAAAAUGUCAAAAGUAUUCAGUCUGAGUGAUGAACAUCACUCUAUUUUUCUGUAUAUUUGAAGUUCUUUAAUAAAAUUUUUUUAAAUGA